GACGAACGCUGGCGGCGUGCUUAACACAUGCAAGUGGAGCGACGAACCGGGCUUCGGCCCGGGGCAAAGCCGCGAACGGGUGAGUAACACGUGGGUAACCUGCCCCGAUGACCGGGACAACCCGAGGAAACUCGAGCUAAUACCGGAUGUGCCCAUGCCACUCAAGUGGCAUGAGGAAAGGAAGCUUCGGCCUCCGCAUC
Molecule: ribosomal RNA, 200 nt
Filed under: uncultured bacterium
Lineage: Bacteria
Description: partial 16S ribosomal RNA
Rfam family: Bacterial small subunit ribosomal RNA
Source: RNAcentral